CCAAGCUACAAAGAGCCAACGGUGAAUGCCUUGGCGCCAAUAACCGAAGAAGGACGUGGAUGACUGCGAAAAGUUACGGUGAGCCGUCUAUCAGGCUUUGACCCGUAAAUGUCCGAAUGAGGAAACUCUGCACCCGUCAUGGGGUGCAACUCUGAAGUGAAUACAUAGCUUCAGUGGAGGGAACCGGGAGAAUUGAAACAUCUCAGUACCCCGAGGAAUGAAAAGCAAACGCGACUCCCUUAGUAGCGGCGAGCGAAGAGGGAAGAGACUAAACCGUGCUGGCGCAAUAGCCUGAUGGCGUUGCCAGUACGGUGUCGUGGGACGACUAGACACUGCAUCAGAAGUGUCGCGAAGUUACAAAGUUGCUAGGUAGAAGAAUUGUCUGGGAAGACAAGCCACAGUGGGUAAGAGCCCCGUAUUCGAAACUUAUGCAGCCUUCGAGUCCAAUCCCAAGUAAUGCCGGAUCCGAGCAAUCUGGCAUGAAUCCGUGGGGACCACCCCAUAAGUCUAAGUAUUUAUUGGCGACCGAUAGUGAACCAGUACCGUGAGGGAAAGGUGAAAAGAACCCCGGGAGGGGAGUGAAAUAGUACCUGAAACCGUUGGUUUACAAACAGUCAGAGAGUCGUUGUACCGUUCGCGGUGCAGCCUCGAUGGCGUGCCUUUUGAAGAAUGAGCCUACGAGUUACGGUAUGUGGCGAGGUUAACCCGUGAGGGGUAGCCGGAGCGAAAGCGAGUCUGAAUAGGGCGUUUAGUCGCAUGCUGUAGACCCGAAGCCAAGUGAUCUUGCCAUGGGCAGGUUGAAGCGGGGGUAAGACCCCGUGGAGGACCGAACACACGUCAGUUGAAAAUGGCGGUGAUGACCUGUGGUAAGGGGCGAAAGACCAAUCAAACUUGGCGAUAGCUGGUUCUCCUCGAAAUGCAUUUAGGUGCAGCGUCAUGCGUUCAGUACCGGAGGUAGAGCACUGGAUGGGUUAGGGGGCCUACAAGCUUACCGACCCCAGCCAAACUCCGAAUUACGGUACUCCAGAGCAUGGCAGUGAGACCACGGGGGAUGAGCUUCGUUGGUCGAAAGGGAAACAGCCCAGAUCAUCAUCUAAGGCCCCUAAUUCAGGACUAAGUGGAAAACGAUGUGAAACCGCAUAGACAGCCAGGAGGUUGGCUUAGAAGCAGCCACCCUUAAAAGAGUGCGUAACAGCUCACUGGUCGAGUGGUUUUGCGCGGACAAUAUAACGGGGCUCAAGUCCUGAGCCGAAGAUAUGGAUUGCAUCGACGUUCGCGUCGUUGCAGUGGUAGAGGAGCGUUGAUGCAGCAGUGAAGCGGCGGGGGAAGGCUAAUCCUCCCAGGGUAAGUCGGGAGCUAAGGAGAGGCCGCGAGGCGUAUCCGAUGCACAACUGGUUGAUAUUCCAGUACCGCCGUGUACACGUCAAGCCCAAGAACGAAAAAGUGGGGGCUGCCUUCGGGCGAACCCACGGCUUUGUUUGCGGGUAGUUGAAGGGGGACACAGGAGGGUAGAUGAUCCGGGGCGAUGGUAGUCCCCGGGUAAGCGUGUAGGAGGUUGCCGAUGAGAGUUGGUGACAUUAACUCCGAGACGCGAUGCCGAUCUCUUUUGAGAGAAGUCAUUGAUCCCACACUGUCGAGAAAAGCCCAGCAGCGAGUUGACACGGCGCCCGUACCCCAAACCGACUCAGGUGGGCGAGUAGAGAAUACUAAGGCGAUCGGGAGAACUAUGGUUAAGGAACUCGGCAAAAUGCCUCCGUAACUUCGGAAGAAGGAGGACCCUUUUUGGUAAUAGGACUUCGCGUUCUAGAGCAAGAAAGGGUGGCACAGAGCAGGGGGUAGCGACUGUUUAACAAAAACACAGCAGCGUGCCAAGCCGCAAGGCGAUGUAUACGCUGUGACGCCUGCCCAAUGCUGGAAGGUCACGAGGAACGGUUAGCCGUAAGGCGAAGCUGUGAAUCUAAGCCCCAGUGAAUGGCGGCCGUAACUAUAACGGUCCUAAGGUAGCGAAA
Molecule: ribosomal RNA, 2009 nt
Filed under: Synechococcaceae bacterium WB6_1A_059
Lineage: Bacteria; Bacillati; Cyanobacteriota; Cyanophyceae; Synechococcales; Synechococcaceae
Description: partial 23S ribosomal RNA
Rfam family: Bacterial large subunit ribosomal RNA
Source: RNAcentral